This 69-nucleotide transfer RNA is filed under the name Aphidius gifuensis. Its description in RNAcentral is "tRNA-Ser". Lineage: Eukaryota; Metazoa; Arthropoda; Insecta; Hymenoptera; Braconidae. The record is from RNAcentral.
AAUAAAAUAAUUUUUGAAAAUAUAAAAAUUUCUAAUUUUUAAAUUUAUGGUUAAAAUCCAUUUUUAUUU